AGCAGCCGCGGUAAUUCCAGCUCCAAUAGCGUAUAUUAAAGUUGUUGCAGUUAAAAAGCUCGUAGUUGAAUUUCGGGGUUAGUAGGCUGGUCGUGCCACUGGUACGUACUGGUCUCACUGAUUCCUCCUUCCUGAUGAACUGUAAUGCCAUUAAUUUGGUGUUGCAGGGAAACUGGACUGUUACUUUGAAAAAAUUAGAGUGUUUAAAGCAAGCUAACGCUUGAAUACAUUAGCAUGGAAUAAUGAAAUAGGACGUUCGAUCCUAUUUUGUUGGUUUCUAGGAUUGACGUAAUGAUUAAUAGGGAUAGUUGGGGGGCAUUAGUAUUCAAUUGUCAGAGGUGAAAUUCUUGGAUUUAUUGAAGACUAACUACUGCGAAAGCAUUUGCCAAGGAUGUCUUCAUUAAUCAAGAACGAAAGUUAGGGGAUCGAAGACGAUCAGAUACCGUCGUAGUCUUAACCAUAAACUAUGCCGACUAGGAAUCAGACGAUGUUAAUUUUUUAAUGACUCGUUUGGCACCUU
This 520-nucleotide ribosomal RNA is filed under the name uncultured Glomus. RNAcentral describes it as "SSU rRNA". It matches the Rfam family "Eukaryotic small subunit ribosomal RNA", at positions 569 to 1089 of the family's 1831-position model. The record is from RNAcentral. Lineage: Eukaryota; Fungi; Glomeromycota; Glomeromycetes; Glomerales; Glomeraceae.